Molecule: unclassified non-coding RNA, 384 nt
Filed under: uncultured Phycisphaeraceae bacterium
Lineage: Bacteria; Pseudomonadati; Planctomycetota; Phycisphaerae; Phycisphaerales; Phycisphaeraceae
Description: contains 16S-23S intergenic spacer region
Source: RNAcentral
UCCGCCUUACAGCGGCAGUCUCGCUAGAGUCCCCACCAUGACGUGUUGGCAACUAGCGACAGGGGUUGCGCUCGUUAGAGGACUUAACCCGACACUUCACAGCACGAGCUGACGACAGCCAUGCAGCACCUGUGAUCGUUCCACUCUUGCGAGUGUCAUCCCUGUUUCCAAGGACUAAUCCGACCAUGUCAAACCCAGGUAAGGUUCUUCGCGUUGCUUCGAAUUAAGCAACAUGCUCCACCGCUUGUGUGAGCCCCCGUCAAUUCCUUUGAGUUUUAGCCUUGCGACCGUACUCCCCAGGCGGCGCACUUAGCAAUUUCUCUACGACCAGAACAGCGUCAGAGCUGCUCCAGUCUAGUGCGCAUCGUUUAGGGCGUGGACUAC